AUUGAACGCUGGCGGCAGGCCUAACACAUGCAAGUCGAGCGGUUGAGGUAGCUUGCUACCGAUGCAGCGGCGGACGGGUGAGUAAUACAUGGGAAUCUGCCUGGUAGUGGGGGACAACGUUUCGAAAGGAACGCUAAUACCGCAUACGCCCUACGGGGAAAGGGGGGGAUCGCAAGACCUCUCGCUAUCAGAUGAGCCCA
This 200-nucleotide ribosomal RNA is filed under the name uncultured bacterium. Its description in RNAcentral is "partial 16S ribosomal RNA". It matches the Rfam family "Bacterial small subunit ribosomal RNA", at positions 30 to 233 of the family's 1533-position model. The record is from RNAcentral.